GGUCGCGUAGCCCAAUCAGUAGAGGCAUUCGACUUAAAAUCGAAAAAGUGCGGGUGCGAUCCCCGCCGCGACCACCA
Molecule: transfer RNA, 77 nt
Filed under: Verrucomicrobiia bacterium
Lineage: Bacteria; Pseudomonadati; Verrucomicrobiota; Verrucomicrobiia
Description: tRNA-Leu
Rfam family: tRNA
About the family: Transfer RNA (tRNA) molecules are approximately 80 nucleotides in length.
Source: RNAcentral